Molecule: non-coding RNA, 321 nt
Organism: Vicia faba (fava bean)
Lineage: Eukaryota; Viridiplantae; Streptophyta; Magnoliopsida; Fabales; Fabaceae
Source: the annotation of a GenBank genome assembly
AUGGGGAAUUUGGAGUUCGAUGAUGGUUUGAAUGAGGAAGCUGGUGCCCUUAAUUUACAGCUUGCUGGACAUGCUUCACUGGUGGUGGAAAGGGAGAUUGCGAGCUGGGAUGGUGUGAAUGAAAAGCAAAGUAGCUGGAGACGUCAUAAAGUUUGUGAGAUGCAUUCUAAGGCUACUAGGGCACUUGUGGGGAAUGCAAUGCAGAGGUUUUGUCAACAGUGUAGUAGGUUUCACUUACUUCAAGAGUUUGAUGAAGGAAAGCGAAGCUCUCAGAGACGCUUGGCUGGCCAUAAUAAACAGAAAAGAAAAAAACCAAAAUAA